GGGUGAGUAACACGUGAGUAACCUGCCUGACUUUGGGAUACUUCAGGAAACUGGGGCUAAUACCGGAUAGGAGCUCCUGCUGCAUGGUGGGGGUUGGAAAGUUUCGGCGGUUGGGGGAUGGACUCGCGGCUUAUCAGCUUGUUGGUGGGGUAGUGGCUUGCCAAGGCUUUGACGGGUAGCCGGCCUGAGAGGGGUGACCGGCCACAUUGGGACUGAGAUACGGCCCAGACUCCUACGGGAGGCAGCAGUGGGGAAUAUUGCACAAUGGGCGGAAGCCUGAUGCAGCAACGCCGCGUGCGGGAUGACGGCCUUCGGGUUGUAAACCGCUUUCGCCUGUGACGAAGCGUGAGUGACGGUAAUGGGUAAAGAAGCACCGGCUAACUACGUGCCAGCAGCCGCGGUGAUACGUAGGGUGCGAGCGUUGUCCGGAUUUAUUGGGCGUAAAGGGCUCGUAGGUGGUUGAUCGCGUCGGAAGUGUAAUCUUGGGGCUUAACCGUGAGCGUGAUUUCGAUACGGGUUGACUUGAGGAAGGUAGGGGAGAAUGGAAUUCCUGGUGGAGCGGUGGAAUGCGCAGAUAUCAGGAGGAACACCAGUGGCGAAGGCGGUUCUCUGGGCCUUUCCUGACGCUGAGGAGCGAAAGCGUGGGGAGCGAACAGGCUUAGAUACCCUGGUAGUCCACGCUGUAAACGGUGGGUACUAGGUGUGGGGUCCAUUCCACGGGUUCCGUGCCGUAGCUAACGCUUUAAGUACCCCGCCUGGGGAGUACGGCCGCAAGG
RNAcentral lists this ribosomal RNA (776 nucleotides) under uncultured Propionibacterium sp. Its description in RNAcentral is "bacterial SSU rRNA". It matches the Rfam family "Bacterial small subunit ribosomal RNA", at positions 104 to 893 of the family's 1533-position model. Lineage: Bacteria; Bacillati; Actinomycetota; Actinomycetes; Propionibacteriales; Propionibacteriaceae. The record is from RNAcentral.